AAAUUGAAGAGUUUGAUCAUGGCUCAGAUUGAACGCUGGCGGCAGGCCUAACACAUGCAAGUCGAGCGGUAGCACAGAGAGCUUGCUCUCGGUGACGAGCGGCGGACGGGUGAGUAAUGUCUGGGAAACUGCCUGAUGGAGGGGGAUAACUACUGGAAACGGUAGCUAAUACCGCAUAAUGUCGCAAGACCAAAGUGGGGGACCUUCGGGCCUCAUGCCAUCAGAUGUGCCCAGAUGGGAUUAGCUUGUAGGUGGGGUAACGGCUCACCUAGGCGACGAUCCCUAGCUGGUCUGAGAGGAUGACCAGCCACACUGGAACUGAGACACGGUCCAGACUCCUACGGGAGGCAGCAGUGGGGAAUAUUGCACAAUGGGCGCAAGCCUGAUGCAGCCAUGCCGCGUGUGUGAAGAAGGCCUUCGGGUUGUAAAGCACUUUCAGCGGGGAGGAAGGCGGUGAGGUUAAUAACCUCAUCGAUUGACGUUACCCGCAGAAGAAGCACCGGCUAACUCCGUGCCAGCAGCCGCGGUAAUACGGAGGGUGCAAGCGUUAAUCGGAAUUACUGGGCGUAAAGCGCACGCAGGCGGUCUGUCAAGUCGGAUGUGAAAUCCCCGGGCUCAACCUGGGAACUGCAUUCGAAACUGGCAGGCUAGAGUCUUGUAGAGGGGGGUAGAAUUCCAGGUGUAGCGGUGAAAUGCGUAGAGAUCUGGAGGAAUACCGGUGGCGAAGGCGGCCCCCUGGACAAAGACUGACGCUCAGGUGCGAAAGCGUGGGGAGCAAACAGGAUUAGAUACCCUGGUAGUCCACGCCGUAAACGAUGUCGAUUUGGAGGUUGUGCCCUUGAGGCGUGGCUUCCGGAGCUAACGCGUUAAAUCGACCGCCUGGGGAGUACGGCCGCAAGGUUAAAACUCAAAUGAAUUGACGGGGGCCCGCACAAGCGGUGGAGCAUGUGGUUUAAUUCGAUGCAACGCGAAGAACCUUACCUGGUCUUGACAUCCACAGAACUUAGCAGAGAUGCUUUGGUGCCUUCGGGAACUGUGAGACAGGUGCUGCAUGGCUGUCGUCAGCUCGUGUUGUGAAAUGUUGGGUUAAGUCCCGCAACGAGCGCAACCCUUAUCCUUUGUUGCCAGCGGUCCGGCCGGGAACUCAAAGGAGACUGCCAGUGAUAAACUGGAGGAAGGUGGGGAUGACGUCAAGUCAUCAUGGCCCUUACGACCAGGGCUACACACGUGCUACAAUGGCAUAUACAAAGAGAAGCGACCUCGCGAGAGCAAGCGGACCUCAUAAAGUAUGUCGUAGUCCGGAUUGGAGUCUGCAACUCGACUCCAUGAAGUCGGAAUCGCUAGUAAUCGUAGAUCAGAAUGCUACGGUGAAUACGUUCCCGGGCCUUGUACACACCGCCCGUCACACCAUGGGAGUGGGUUGCAAAAGAAGUAGGUAGCUUAACCUUCGGGAGGGCGCUUACCACUUUGUGAUUCAUGACUGGGGUGAAGUCGUAACAAGGUAACCGUAGGGGAACCUGCGGUUGGAUCACCUCCUUACCUUAAAGAA
Molecule: ribosomal RNA, 1549 nt
Filed under: Klebsiella pneumoniae
Lineage: Bacteria; Pseudomonadati; Pseudomonadota; Gammaproteobacteria; Enterobacterales; Enterobacteriaceae
Description: bacterial SSU rRNA
Rfam family: Bacterial small subunit ribosomal RNA
Source: RNAcentral